UGGGGGAUAUUGCACAACGGGCGAAAGCCUGAUGCAGCGACGCCGCGUGGGGGAUGAAGGCUUUCGGGUUGUAAACCUCUUUCGCUAUCGAACAAGGCCCGCUUAGGGUGGGUUGAGGGUAGGUGGAGAAGAAGCGCCGGCUAACUACGUGCCAGCAGCCGCGGUAAUACGUAGGGCGCGAGCGUUGUCCGGAAUUAUUGGGCGUAAAGGGCUUGUAGGCGGCUUGUUGCGCCUGCUGUGAAAACGCGGGGCUUAACUUCGCGCGUGCAGUGGGUACGGGCAGGCUUGAGUGUGGUAGGGGUGACUGGAAUUCCAGGUGUAGCGGUGGAAUGCGCAGAUAUCUGGAGGAACACCGAUGGCGAAGGCAGGUCACUGGGCCAUUACUGACGCUGAGGAGCGAAAGCAUGGGUAGCGAACAGG
Molecule: ribosomal RNA, 420 nt
Filed under: bacterium
Lineage: Bacteria
Description: partial 16S ribosomal RNA
Rfam family: Bacterial small subunit ribosomal RNA
Source: RNAcentral